This 486-nucleotide ribosomal RNA is filed under the name uncultured bacterium. RNAcentral's name for it is "bacterial SSU rRNA". It matches the Rfam family "Bacterial small subunit ribosomal RNA", at positions 28 to 512 of the family's 1533-position model. The record is from RNAcentral.
GAUGAACGCUAGCGGCAGGCUUAACACAUGCAAGUCGAGGGGUAGAGGAAGCUUGCUUCCUUGAGACCGGCGCACGGGUGCGUAACGCGUAUACAAUCUACCUUUUACAGAGGGAUAGCCCCAGAGAAAUUUGGAUUAAUACCUCAUAGUAUUUUCGGAUCGCAUGAUUUGAUUAUUAAAGUUCCAACGGUAAAAGAUGAGUAUGCGUCCCAUUAGCUAGUUGGUAAGGUAACGGCUUACCAAGGCUACGAUGGGUAGGGGUCCUGAGAGGGAGAUCCCCCCACACUGGUACUGAGACACGGACCAGACUCCUACGGGAGGCAGCAGUGAGGAAUAUGGACAAUGGGCGCAAGCCUGAUCCAGCCAUGCCGCGUGCAGGAUGACGGUCCUAUGGAUUGUAAACUGCUUUGUACAGGAAGAAACACUAUUCGUGAGUAGCUUGACGGUACUGUAAGAAUAAAGGAUACGGCUAAACUCCGUGCCACG